This 1480-nucleotide ribosomal RNA is filed under the name uncultured bacterium. Its description in RNAcentral is "bacterial SSU rRNA". It matches the Rfam family "Bacterial small subunit ribosomal RNA". The record is from RNAcentral.
GGCUCAGGAUGAACGCUGGCGGCGUGCCUAACACAUGCAAGUCGAACGAAGCGAUUAAGAGAAGUUUUCGGAUGGAAUCUUGAUUGACUGAGUGGCGGACGGGUGAGUAACGCGUGGAUAACCUGCCUCACACUGGGGGAUAACAGUUAGAAAUGACUGCUAAUACCGCAUAAGCGCACAGUGCCGCAUGGCAGUGUGUGAAAAACUCCGGUGGUGUGAGAUGGAUCCGCGUCUGAUUAGCCAGUUGGCGGGGUAACGGCCCACCAAAGCGACGAUCAGUAGCCGACCUGAGAGGGUGACCGGCCACAUUGGGACUGAGACACGGCCCAAACUCCUACGGGAGGCAGCAGUGGGGAAUAUUGCACAAUGGGCGAAAGCCUGAUGCAGCGACGCCGCGUGAGUGAAGAAGUAUUUCGGUAUGUAAAGCUCUAUCAGCAGGGAAGAAAAUGACGGUACCUGACUAAGAAGCCCCGGCUAACUACGUGCCAGCAGCCGCGGUAAUACGUAGGGGGCAAGCGUUAUCCGGAUUUACUGGGUGUAAAGGGAGCGUAGACGGCGAAGCAAGUCUGAAGUGAAAACCCAGGGCUCAACCCUGGGACUGCUUUGGAAACUGUUUUGCUAGAGUGUCGGAGAGGUAAGUGGAAUUCCUAGUGUAGCGGUGAAAUGCGUAGAUAUUAGGAGGAACACCAGUGGCGAAGGCGGCUUACUGGACGAUAACUGACGUUGAGGCUCGAAAGCGUGGGGAGCAAACAGGAUUAGAUACCCUGGUAGUCCACGCCGUAAACGAUGAAUGCUAGGUGUUGGGGGGCAAAGCCCUUCGGUGCCGCCGCAAACGCAGUAAGCAUUCCACCUGGGGAGUACGUUCGCAAGAAUGAAACUCAAAGGAAUUGACGGGGACCCGCACAAGCGGUGGAGCAUGUGGUUUAAUUAGAAGCAACGCGAAGAACCUUACCAAGUCUUGACAUCCUCCUGACGGGCCGGUAACGCGGCCUUUCCUUCGGGACAGGGGAGACAGGUGGUGCAUGGUUGUCGUCAGCUCGUGUCGUGAGAUGUUGGGUUAAGUCCCGCAACGAGCGCAACCCUUAUCCUUAGUAGCCAGCAGUGAAGGUGGGCACUCUAGGGAGACUGCCAGGGAUAACCUGGAGGAAGGUGGGGAUGACGUCAAAUCAUCAUGCCCCUUAUGAUUUGGGCUACACACGUGCUACAAUGGCGUAAACAAAGGGAAGCGAGACAGUGAUGUGGAGCAAAUCCCAAAAAUAACGUCCCAGUUCGGACUGUAGUCUGCAACCCGACUACACGAAGCUGGAAUCGCUAGUAAUCGCGAAUCAGAAUGUCGCGGUGAAUACGUUCCCGGGUCUUGUACACACCGCCCGUCACACCAUGGGAGUCAGCAACGCCCGAAGUCAGUGACCCAACCGAAAGGAGGGAGCUGCCGAAGGCGGGGCAGGUAACUGGGGAGAAGUCGUAACAAGGUAGCCGU